This 74-nucleotide transfer RNA is filed under the name Onthophagus taurus. RNAcentral describes it as "tRNA-Val". It matches the Rfam family "tRNA". Rfam says of the family: Transfer RNA (tRNA) molecules are approximately 80 nucleotides in length. The record is from RNAcentral. Lineage: Eukaryota; Metazoa; Arthropoda; Insecta; Coleoptera; Scarabaeidae.
GUUUUCGUGGUGUAGUCGGUUAUCACAUCCGCCUAACACGCGGAAGGUCCCCGGUUCAAACCCAGGCGAAAUCA